Molecule: ribosomal RNA, 497 nt
Filed under: uncultured bacterium
Lineage: Bacteria
Description: partial 16S ribosomal RNA
Rfam family: Bacterial small subunit ribosomal RNA
Source: RNAcentral
GAUGAACGCUGGCGGCGUGCCUAAUACAUGCAAGUCGAGCGAACAGAUGAGGAGCUUGCUCCUCUGACGUUAGCGGCGGGCGGGUGAGUAACACGUGGAUAACCUACCUAUAAGACUGGGAUAACUUCGGGAAACCGGAGCUAAUACCGGAUAAUAUAUUGAACCGCAUGGUUCAAUAGUGAAAGACGGUUUUGCUGUCACUUAUAGAUGGAUCCGCGCCGCAUUAGCUAGUUGGUAAGGUAACGGCUUACCAAGGCAACGAUGCGUAGCCGACCUGAGAGGGGGAUCGGCCACACUGGAACUGAGACACGGUCCAGACUCCUACGGGAGGCAGCAGUAGGGAAUCUUCCGCAAUGGGCGAAAGCCUGACGGAGCAACGCCGCGUGAGUGAUGAAGGUCUUCGGAUCGUAAAACUCUGUUAUUAGGGAAGAACAAAUGUGUAAGUAACUAUGCACGUCUUGACGGUACCUAAUCAGAAAGCCACGGCUAACUACGUG